GAGGAAUAUUGGGCAAUGCCCGCAAGGGUGACCCAGCAACGCCGCGUGGAGGAUGAAAGCCGUAAGGUUGUAAACUCCUGUGAGAGGGGACGAAUGAUUACGUAUCGUAAGGUGCGUAAAGUGACUGUACCCUCAGAGGAAGCCCCGGCUAACUACGUGCCAGCAGCCGCGGUAAUACGUAGGGGGCAAGCGUUGUCCGGAUUUACUGGGUGUAAAGGGCGCGUAGGCGGGUUGAUAAGUUAGAGGUGAAAUCCUGCAGCUUAACUGCAGAACUGCCCCUAAUACUGUCAAUCUUGAGUUCAGAAGAGAGAAGCGGAAUUCCAGGUGUAGUGGUGAAAUACGUAGAUAUCUGGAAGAACACCAGUUGCGAAGGCGGCUUCUUGGUCUGACACUGACGCUGAGGUGCGAAAGCGUGGGGAGCAAAC
This 425-nucleotide ribosomal RNA is filed under the name uncultured bacterium. RNAcentral describes it as "bacterial SSU rRNA". It matches the Rfam family "Bacterial small subunit ribosomal RNA", at positions 356 to 773 of the family's 1533-position model. The record is from RNAcentral.